This 372-nucleotide ribosomal RNA is filed under the name uncultured organism. RNAcentral's name for it is "bacterial SSU rRNA". It matches the Rfam family "Bacterial small subunit ribosomal RNA", at positions 526 to 896 of the family's 1533-position model. The record is from RNAcentral.
CAGAGGUCCCGAGCGUUGUUCGGAUUCACUGGGCGUAAAGGGUGCGUAGGCGGUCGGGUAAGUCUGAUGUGAAAUCUCACAGCUUAACUGUGAAACUGCAUUGGAUACUAUUCGGCUUGAGGUCUGGAGGGGGGACUGGAAUUCUCGGUGUAGCAGUGAAAUGCGUAGAUAUCGAGAGGAACACCAGUGGCGAAGGCGAGUCCCUGGACAGGUCCUGACGCUGAGGCACGAAAGCUAGGGGAGCAAACAGGAUUAGAUACCCUGGUAGUCCUAGCCGUAAACGGUGCUUAUUUGCUGUAAAAGGAAUCGACCCCUUUUGUGGCGUAGCAAACGCGUUAAAUAAGCCGCCUGGGAAGUACGGUCGCAAGAUUA